AGAUUGAACGCUGGCGGCAUGCCUUACACAUGCAAGUCGAACGGCAGCACGGGAGCAAUCCUGGUGGCGAGUGGCGAACGGGUGAGUAAUACAUCGGAACGUGCCCAAUCGUGGGGGGAUAACGCAGCGAAAGCUGUGCUAAUACCGCAUAAGAUCUACGGAUGAAAGCAGGGGAUCGCAAGACCUUGCGCGAAUGGAGCGGCCGAUGGCAGAUUAGGUAAGUUGGUGAGGUAAAGGCUCACCAAGCCUUCGAUCUGUAGCUGGUCUGAGAGGACGACCAGCCACACUGGGACUGAGACACGGGCCCAGACUCCUACGGGAGGCAGCAGUGGGAAGUUUUGACGAAUGGGCGAAAGCCUGAUCAGCCAUGCCGCGUGCAGAUGAAGGCCGUUCGGUUAGUAAACGUGUACGUUUUUGUACGG
This 422-nucleotide ribosomal RNA is filed under the name uncultured soil bacterium. RNAcentral describes it as "bacterial SSU rRNA". It matches the Rfam family "Bacterial small subunit ribosomal RNA", at positions 26 to 448 of the family's 1533-position model. The record is from RNAcentral.